CGAACGGGUGAGUAACACAUCGGAACGUACCCAGGAGUGGGGGACAACCUCGAGAAAUCGAGGCUAAUACCGCAUACGUCCUGAGGGAGAAAGCGGGGGAUUCGCAAGGACCUCGCGCUCAUGGAUCGGCCGAUGCCGGAUUAGCUAGUUGGUGGGGUAAUAGCCCACCAAGGCUACGAUCCGUAGCUGGUUUGAGAGAACGACCAGCCACACUGGGACUGAGACACGGCCCAG
This 234-nucleotide ribosomal RNA is filed under the name uncultured bacterium. RNAcentral describes it as "partial 16S ribosomal RNA". It matches the Rfam family "Bacterial small subunit ribosomal RNA", at positions 99 to 334 of the family's 1533-position model. The record is from RNAcentral.